Solanum lycopersicum (tomato) is the source of this 2028-nucleotide non-coding RNA. The record is from RefSeq and is a predicted model, not a curated record. Lineage: Eukaryota; Viridiplantae; Streptophyta; Magnoliopsida; Solanales; Solanaceae.
GUCGAGGGGGGCGGGGGGCCUCGGGGCACGUGUCUAGAAGAACUAGUGUAUUAAUAAGAGUAAGUUUUUCAUUUGGCUUUUUGUGUGAUUAAAACGCAUGGUAGAUUUUGUAAUUAUGUAUUAUUUUGCAUUGUUAUGAAAAGAAAAAUUCUUUAUUUUCGUGUUAAACUUUCAAGUGUUAUUUAACUGACAAAAUUUCUAUUUAUACAUGAUGAGUUUGAUAAUAUUUGAAUGUUUUAUGCAUAAUAGUGAUGUUAGGGGAAAUAUAUAUAUUCGUGAUAUUCACGUGCUUUGUCGAGAACUAGUGCAUCAUUAAUAAGAGUAAGUUUUUCUCGUGAAGCAUUUGGCUUUUUGGUUGAUUAAAACGCAUGGUAGAUUUUGUAUAACUUUCCAUAUAAACUUCCUGAAAGCUUUCAAAUGCUCCUUUUUUAUGUAUGAAUUUAUUUCUAAAAAAUGGCUCUGUCCCUGUUGAAUCAAGGAGGUUAACAUCGAAGCUUAGAUAUAAGAAAGAACUGUUGUCUGCCUGCCUGCAUAUUGGUAUUUUCUUUUCUUUGUUUUGAAUUCAUGUCCAUUUUCAGUCUCUUCUGAGUAUUAAGUAAGUUGGCAUCUCUGUUUUAUGUAUGCUGAGAUUGUCCAAUGAACCAAAUGAUUGGGGAUAUAUAGCUAUGUAUCAUCUUCUAUAUCACUAAGUUAAGGGAUGUAUCUUCUUUAUCACUAAGUUAAGGGUAAGACUCAGUUUUCUUUCUUUAAUCGCUAUUGAUAUGUCAAUUUCUUUGUGCUAACAAUUUCGAGCUCGCCGUGAAAUACGGGUGUCCUGUUUGAGUAGUAUAAACAGUAUGGGUGUCCAGCUGCUGGAAUGUGCUAUCACUCACCUUCAUCUAUUUUGUUUGUUUUCUCAGUUUAUGUGUGAUCCAUAGCUGAAAGUUUGGCAUUUAUCUCGGUUUUCCCUUCCUAUUUGAUUUUUUUUCAAUAAUCGCCGUUAGGUCAAUUCUGCUAUUUAAGGUAAAAUCUGAUUGAUAGAUUACGACUUGGAGAAAUUUAAAAAUCUGACAGUAGUGUCAAAGUAAGAAGUUUUUAACUGACAGAAUAUUUGAAUGGUAUCAUACAUACAUAGUCAAGUUUCAACCAGCUUUUGGGAAUUCUGGAAGUCACGUGCUCAUCAAAGUAAAUUUUAUAUACACUGAUGCAACGGUCUAUCUCCACAAUGGGUGUUCAAAUCCAGUGGUGCAUUGUGACUUGAAGCCAAGUGUCUUGCUUGAUCAAGACAUGGUUGGCCAUGUCAGUGAUUUUGGCAUUGCAAAAUUGUUAGGUGCAGGGGAGAGUUUUGUUCAAACAAGGACAAUAGCAACCAUUGGAUAAUUGCUCCAGAGUAUGGACAAGAUGGAAUCGUAUCCACAAGCUGCGAUGUUUAUAGUUUCGGUAUCCUGAUUGAUGGAGACGUUUACAAGAAUCAGACCAGGUGAUGAAAGAUUUACUGGAGAGUUGAGCAUACGACGUUGGGUUAGUGAUUCUUUUCCAGAUGAGAUUCAUAAGGUGGUGGAUGCUAAUUUGGUACAGCCUAGGGGAUGAACGAAUUGACGCAAAGAUGCAGUGUCUGUUGUCUAUUAUAGAGUUAGCUUUGAGCUGUACUUUAGCAACACCUGAUGCAAGAAUUAGUAUGGAAGAUUCUCUUUCAACACUUCAAAAUAUCAGGCUCCAGUUUGUCAAUAGUCGCCACCGAAAAAAGCAACUGAAGGAUUUAGUACCGAAAAAAGCAACUUGCUUGGUAAUGGCAAGGUCUACAAUGUACAAUUGGAGGGUGCAUUCAAAAGUUUUGAUACAGAAGAAUGUGAAAUCUGACCAAAGUCAUCAAAGCCUUAAUGUUAGAAUACAUGUCUAGUGGGACACUUGAUAAAUGGCUGUACUCUCACAAGUUGUUCUUGGAUUUACUUCAUAUUAUGUACUCUUUCACUUUCAGUGCCAGCUGGAAUGGUGAUUUUCUAGCUACUGGAGUUCACAAUUCUAAUCCAUAAUUAAUUGUCUCCUCGA